Molecule: long non-coding RNA, 560 nt
Organism: Mustela lutreola (European mink)
Lineage: Eukaryota; Metazoa; Chordata; Mammalia; Carnivora; Mustelidae
Exons: 3
Source: RefSeq, a predicted model, not a curated record
AAAAGAAUGAAAUUGCUAAAAUGUGAUUUUAGAGGAAGCAUAUAAAGUUCUUUUAAAAGAAAAUUAAGCUCUCUAUAACUUUCAAUCAACAGAAUGUGGCCUAAUACGAGAGGAAAUUCCAACACAACUUGACAUGAGACCAGCAGUAAGUCUGGAGGAAGCCAGUAGUGACAGCUUAUGGAGAAGCACAUGUGGGGAGAAACGGAGGCCUUGGCUAACAGACAACAACCAUGUGAGUGAGCUUAGAAGAUUCUUUAAUACCAGUCAAGUCUUGAGAUGACAGCAGCAGCAGCUGACAGUUCGCCACUUUUUGAGUACCUGAACCAGAAAAAUUCAGGCCAAGAAUAGAAGACAAGCCAAUGGGAAGAACAUAAUGAGCAAAGAAAUGAAGUGAACUGAAGUGGUGUGCUGUGGUAUUCUGGCCAGAGACACAGCACAAAUAGAAAAAUGAAUGGUCAGCACUUCACUUGUUCUUCCAAGUCUACGGUGAGGGUACAAAUUGUAGUGAACUGAUCACCAUUUGAGUCAACUUGAGGACAGAAGAGAAACUAGUAAUAAAG